AAAAUGUUUCUUUUACAGGAGUUGAACAAGAUCGAUGCUUAUACAGAGACAAGAGUUGAUCCUCAGGAAAUCGUUGAUCUUUUCAAGACACGUUUUCUGCCUCAACAGUGAACUUUGGAUUGCUGCAGACUUCCUCUAAGAUGUAGACUGCCAAUAAAGCGUCCUUUGCAUUCAUGGAUGCAUCUUCAGUCAAAUAUGGUUGUGUUUAUCUGCUAGUGUUGCAGGAUAGUUUGACGUCAUAAUUAUAAUUUCAGAUUCUGUCUUUGGGAAGGUUUGGUUUUCAAAUGUAAUUUUUAAAAUAAAAUGUGUAUGAAAAUAAUGGAAUUGUGAUGGUUUUUAAUUUAAUUUUAAAACACUUUUAUAUUCA
Non-coding RNA from Cajanus cajan (pigeon pea), 367 nucleotides. The record is from RefSeq and is a predicted model, not a curated record. Lineage: Eukaryota; Viridiplantae; Streptophyta; Magnoliopsida; Fabales; Fabaceae.